UACUUGGAGCUCUACCUCGCUUUGAGCUCCCACUAGCUCCUGAAGUUCCACCUCAUACUAAGCUCCCUGCUAAGAGGUAAUGUCCUCCAUAUCUCUUUUCCUUCAAUACAAUCCUACGGCCAUGCAAAACCUUUAAGAUUCUAUCAUCAACUUUUCACCUGUAGCUGCUUGAAUCCAGUCUUGUCAUACCCCUAAUCCAAGAUUAUGAGCCG
Molecule: long non-coding RNA, 212 nt
Filed under: Elaeis guineensis (African oil palm)
Lineage: Eukaryota; Viridiplantae; Streptophyta; Magnoliopsida; Arecales; Arecaceae
Description: long non-coding RNA (EGUI_LNC018046)
Source: RNAcentral